Molecule: ribosomal RNA, 466 nt
Filed under: uncultured Candida
Lineage: Eukaryota; Fungi; Ascomycota; Saccharomycetes; Saccharomycetales
Description: SSU rRNA
Rfam family: Eukaryotic small subunit ribosomal RNA
Source: RNAcentral
UUAUUGGAGGGGCAAGUCUGGUGCCAGCAGCCGCGGUAAUUCCAGCUCCAAAAGCGUAUAUUAAAGUUGUUGCAGUUAAAAAGCUCGUAGUUGAACCUUGGGCUUGGCUGGCCGGUCCAUCUUUUUGAUGCGUACUGGACCCAGCCGAGCCUUUCCUUCUGGGUAGCCAUUUAUGGCGAACCAGGACUUUUACUUUGAAAAAAUUAGAGUGUUCAAAGCAGGCCUUUGCUCGAAUAUAUUAGCAUGGAAUAAUAGAAUAGGACGUUAUGGUUCUAUUUUGUUGGUUUCUAGGACCAUCGUAAUGAUUAAUAGGGACGGUCGGGGGUAUCAGUAUUCAGUUGUCAGAGGUGAAAUUCUUGGAUUUACUGAAGACUAACUACUGCGAAAGCAUUUACCAAGGACGUUUUCAUUAAUCAAGAACGAAAGUUAGGGGAUCGAAGAUGAUCAGAUACCGUCGAGUUACUGC